CUUAUAAACAGCUAAGACAAUCGCCACAGGCAAUUCGAGUCAUGCUCACGUUGUUGUUCUUGUGUUUGUUGAAGACUUGUGACUCUAUGUAUUAUGGUAAAGUUGGGAGUCCCGGAUGCCUUAUGUAUAAUGGAACAUGUGUGGAUCACUGUCCAGAACACAUGCACAGAUUGAACAGCGAAUGCCGUCCGACUCCAUCGCAACGCACUUGCGACGAACCAGUCGCAUUAUCAAUGGGCACGAUUUGCGACUGGUCGCGGUGUGACUGCGACUUUCCAUUCGUCCUCCACCUUCCUUCAGGAUAUUGCUUCGCAUAUGAAGAUUGCCCGUAAUAAAAUCAUGUUCAGAUACCGUUAAAUAUAAAACUUUAUUGGAUAAAUGGGAUUGUGAAAUCA
Long non-coding RNA from Pieris napi, 395 nucleotides. RefSeq lists it as uncharacterized. NCBI's taxonomy places the organism in Eukaryota, Metazoa, Arthropoda, Insecta, Lepidoptera, Pieridae. The record is from RefSeq and is a predicted model, not a curated record. The transcript has 2 exons.